Molecule: microRNA, 23 nt
Filed under: Lingula anatina
Lineage: Eukaryota; Metazoa; Brachiopoda; Lingulata; Lingulida; Lingulidae
Description: Lan-Mir-124_5p (mature (co-guide))
Source: RNAcentral
GUGUUCACUGUGUUAGCCUUGGU